AAUCCUUUCUGUACUUAUCAGCUGCUGUAUACUACAGAGGAAGUCCUUUGCUUUUUAAAAUGCUUUUUCUGUCUGACCACAAUGCUCUGCUGACACCUGUCAGUCAAGAACUGUCCGGAGUAGGAGCAAAAAUCCCCAUAGCAAACGUAUCCUGCUCUGGACAGUUCGUGACAAGGACAGAGGAGUCAGCAGAGAUCCCUGUGGUUAGAAAUAAAAAUAAAAAAUAACUUCCUCUGUAGUAUACAACAGCUAAGUACUGGAAGGAUUAAGAAUUUUAGAAGUAAUUUACAAAUCUGUCUAACUUUCUGCCACUAGUUGAUUUUGAAAAAUUUUCCCUACCGGAGUACCCCUUUAAGGGGGCGUUCUUGCAUAGAUACUGAUGUAAUUUGUUUUCUUCUCAGUGGCACAACCACAAGGUGAGAUGUGGAUCACGUAAGGACGUCCUCGGUGUGGCUUUCUUUGCCAACAACCAUCAGAUCGUGUCAAGUUCCUGAGACAAGACCAUCCAGCUGUGGCGUGUGCAGGAAGAGUCUCUGGUUUCUUGCGUCUGAUUCUCACCCAACAGCAGCAAUCCGAUAAUUUUCUGCGGCCGGGACAAGAUGUUGCACAACCACAAGCAGAUUUUUGGGUCACACACAGGAUGUGGCUUUCUCCAGUCGACCGUCAGAUUCCCGAGACAGGACCAUCAAGCAGUGGAACAUUUUGGGAGUGUGCACUGCAGGAAGAAUCUUGCCUAUACCUUGAAAAAGCAUCACAUGAUUUGAAACGUACGUUGGUGUGUGAUCCGUCCUCCUCACUUAUAGACCAGCUUGGAGAAAUAGAUUUGUGAAUGGAUACACACAAGUGCCUUGGACUCUCUCUUCAGACCUGGAAGGCAAGAUCAUUGUAGAAGAACUGAAGCAGCAAAGCUGAGCCCCCACAGUGCACCUCUCUGGCCUGGUCAGCAGAAGGACAGACUCUUCGCCGGAUAUACAGACAACUUGAUCAGAGUUUGGCAAGUGACUAUUGGGACCCGUUAAGAUGUUUUCUGGAUACAGGAAAAUGGAGACAUGACAAUUGUAAUGUUACCACCUGAUGCUGCUUGUGCAGUAUGGCGUCAAAUAAAAGUUGCUAUAA
Hyla sarda is the source of this 1116-nucleotide long non-coding RNA. RefSeq lists it as uncharacterized. The record is from RefSeq and is a predicted model, not a curated record. The transcript has 6 exons. Lineage: Eukaryota; Metazoa; Chordata; Amphibia; Anura; Hylidae.